Molecule: ribosomal RNA, 587 nt
Filed under: Entamoeba sp.
Lineage: Eukaryota; Evosea; Mastigamoebida; Endamoebidae
Description: partial 18S ribosomal RNA
Rfam family: Eukaryotic small subunit ribosomal RNA
Source: RNAcentral
AUUGGAGGGCAAGUCUGGUGCCAGCAGCCGCGGUAAUUCCAGCUCCAAUAGUGUAUAUUAAAGUUGCUGUGAUUAAAACGCUCGUAGUUGAAUUAUAACACAUUUUGAAUUAGAAGCUUUACUUUGUAAAGUGGAUAAUUCGCUAUUUAAUGUUUAGGCGAUAUAUGAUUUAUUUCAUAUGUCAUUACUUUGAAAAAAAUAGGGUGUUUAAAGCAAAUCUUAUGUUAAUGAAUAAUGAAGCAUGGGACAAUAUUGAGGAGAUGGCUUGCCAUUUCGGGAAAAGGAUUAAUAGGAACAAUUGGGGUGAUUCAGAAAAUAACGGGAGAGGUAAAAUUCCAUGAUCGCUAUAAGAUGCACGAGAGCGAAAGCAUUUCACUCAAUUGCGUUCAUUAAUCAAGAACGAAAGUUAGGGGAUCGAAGACGAUCAGAUACCGUCGUAGUCCUAACUAUAAACGAUGUCAACCAAGGAUUGGAUUAGUCUUAGAAAUUUCUCGGUCUGGUAUCUUCGAUAUUAGAUUGAUAAAUUUCGCUUCCACCUUAUUCAGAACUUAAAGAGAAAUCUUGAGUUUAUGGACUUCAGGGGGAGU